UGAACGCUGGCGGCAUGCCUUACACAUGCAAGUCGAACGGCAGCACGGGGGCAACCCUGGUGGCGAGUGGCGAACGGGUGAGUAACAUAUCGGAACGUGCCCUGGAGUGAGGGAUAACUAGUCGAAAGACUAGCUAAUACCGCAUACGAUCUACGGAUGAAAGUGGGGGAUCGCAAGACCUCAUGCUCGUGGAGCGGCCGAUAUCUGAUUAGCUAGUUGGUGGGGUAAAGGCCUACCAAGGCAUCGAUCAGUAGCUGGUCUGAGAGGACGACCAGCCACACUGGGACUGAGACACGGCCCAGACUCCUACGGGAGGCAGCAGUGGGGAAUUUUGGACAAUGGGCGCAAGCCUGAUCCAGCAAUGCCGCGUGAGUGAAGAAGGCCUUCGGGUUGUAAAGCUCUUUUGUCAGGGAAGAAACGGUGAGGGCUAAUAUCCUUUGCUAAUGACGGUACCUGAAGAAUAAGCACCGGCUAACUAC
This 479-nucleotide ribosomal RNA is filed under the name uncultured bacterium. RNAcentral describes it as "bacterial SSU rRNA". It matches the Rfam family "Bacterial small subunit ribosomal RNA", at positions 30 to 504 of the family's 1533-position model. The record is from RNAcentral.